This 492-nucleotide ribosomal RNA is filed under the name uncultured bacterium. RNAcentral's name for it is "partial 16S ribosomal RNA". It matches the Rfam family "Bacterial small subunit ribosomal RNA", at positions 29 to 507 of the family's 1533-position model. The record is from RNAcentral.
AGUGAACGCUGGCGGUAGGCCUAACACAUGCAAGUCGAACGGCAGCACAGUAAGAGCUUGCUCUUACGGGUGGCGAGUGGCGGACGAGUGAGGAAUACAUCGGAAUCUACUUUUUCGUGGGGGAUAACGUAGGGAAACUUACGCUAAUACCGCAUACGACCUACGGGUGAAAGCAGGGGAUCUUCGGACCUUGCGCGAUUGAAUGAGCCGAUGUCGGAUUAGCUAGUUGGCGGGGUAGAGGCCCACCAAGGCGACGAUCCGUAGCUGGUCUGAGAGGAUGAUCAGCCACACUGGGACUGAGACACGGUCCAGACUCCUACGGGAGGCAGCAGUGGGGAAUAUUGGACAAUGGGCGCAAGCCUGAUCCAGCCAUACCGCGUGGGUGAAGAAGGCCUUCGGGUUGUAAAGCCCUUUUGUUGGGAAAGAAAAGCAGCAGGUUAAUACCCCGCUGUUCUGACGGUACCCAAAGAAUAAGCACCGGCUAACUUCGUG